AGUCGAACGGACGAGGAGGAGCUUGCUUCUCCGAGUUAGUGGCGGACGGGUGAGUAACACGUGAGCAACCUGCCCUUGAGAGGGGGAUAGCUUCUGGAAACGGAUGGUAAUACCCCAUAACAUAUAUUUUAGGCAUCUAAGAUAUAUCAAAGAAAUUCGCUCAAGGAUGGGCUCGCGUCUGAUUAGAUAGUUGGUGAGGUAACGGCCCACCAAGUCGACGAUCAGUAGCCGGACUGAGAGGUUGAACGGCCACAUUGGGACUGAGACACGGCCCAGACUCCUACGGGAGGCAGCAGUGGGGAAUAUUGCACAAUGGGGGGAACCCUGAUGCAGCGAUGCCGCGUGGAGGAAGAAGGUUUUCGGAUUGUAAACUCCUUUUAACAGGGACGAUAAUGACGGUACCUGAAGAAAAAGCUCCGGCUAACUACGUGCCAGCAGCC
This 440-nucleotide ribosomal RNA is filed under the name uncultured bacterium. Its description in RNAcentral is "bacterial SSU rRNA". It matches the Rfam family "Bacterial small subunit ribosomal RNA", at positions 60 to 516 of the family's 1533-position model. The record is from RNAcentral.